RNAcentral lists this ribosomal RNA (497 nucleotides) under uncultured bacterium. Its description in RNAcentral is "partial 16S ribosomal RNA". It matches the Rfam family "Bacterial small subunit ribosomal RNA", at positions 28 to 507 of the family's 1533-position model. The record is from RNAcentral.
GAUGAACGCUGGCGGCGUGCCUAAUACAUGCAAGUCGAGCGAACAGAUGAGGAGCUUGCUCCUCUGACGUUAGCGGCGGACGGGUGAGUAACACGUGGAUAACCUACCUAUAAGACUGGGAUAACUUCGGGAAACCGGAGCUAAUACCGGAUAAUAUAUUGAACCGCAUGGUUCAAUAGUGAAAGACGGUUUUGCUGUCACUUAUAGAUGGAUCCGCGCCGCAUUAGCUAGUUGUUAAGGUAACGGCUUACCAAGGCAACGAUGCGUAGCCGACCUGAGAGGGUGAACGGCCACACUGGAACUGAGACACGGUCCAGACUCCUACGGGAGGCAGCAGUAGGGAAUCUUCCGCAAUGGGCGAAAGCCUGACGGAGCAAAGCCGCGUGAGUGAUGAAGGUCUUCGGCUCGUAAAACUAUGUUAUUCGGGAAGAACAAAUGUGUAAGUAACUAUGCACGUAUUGACGGUACCUAAUCAGAAAGCCACGGCUAACUACGUG